This is a long non-coding RNA of Hibiscus syriacus, 178 nucleotides long. RefSeq lists it as uncharacterized. The record is from RefSeq and is a predicted model, not a curated record. The transcript has 3 exons. Lineage: Eukaryota; Viridiplantae; Streptophyta; Magnoliopsida; Malvales; Malvaceae.
GCAAAAUGUUCGAGCCACAGGCAUAACUUGAGGACCAGGACAUGGAAUCAGCAUUGGGAGCUUUGGAGCUGGAAAUUCUUCGGUUUAUGUGUCUAAUGUAAUAGUGAAUAGAGCAACACUUUCGAGAACCACCAAUGGAGUUAGAAUAAAGACUUGGCAGGGAGGAUCAGGGUAUGCC